CACUGGAGAGGUGGUGGUGGCCAGCCUCAACAUCAGGGUGGAGGAAGGCAUGCACCUGCUCAUCACAGGCCCCAAUGGCUGCGGCAAGAGUUCUCUGUUCCGAAUCCUAGGUGGACUCUGGCCAACAUACAGUGGGGUACUCUAUAAGCCCCCACCCCAGCGCAUGUUCUAUAUCCCUCAGAGGUUGGGAGGCUGUGUGUGACUGGAAGGACGUCCUUUCUGGUGGUGAGAAGCAGAGGAUUGGUAUGGCGCGCAUGUUCUAUCACAGGAAGUACCACACACACUUGCUGCAGUUUGAUGGGGAGGGAGGCUGGAAGUUUGAGAAGCUGGAUUCUGCUGCCCGCCUGAGCCUGACUGAAGAGAAGCAGCGCCUGGAGCAGCAACUGGCAGGCAUCCCUAAGAUGCAGGGGCGCCUUCAGGAGCUCCGCCAGAUCCUUGGCGAAGCUGCAGCCCCAGUUCAACCUCUGGUCCCAGGCAUCCCCACUUGACUGGGGACCUUAUCCCUAGCUCCCACCCUUCUCCAAGCUCUCGGAUCACAUGAAGGAAGCUGCAGCUCCUAUCCUCCCCUUACUGCCCUGCAUGCCUUCCCCUCCCAAGCCUCCUAGCCAAUUACCUGCUUUCCCUGAAGACCCCACUCUGGAGCAAGUAGAUAUGAAUGGGGACACUCUGCAUUCCACCUUCACUCUGGGGUCUGCUCCAGAAACUGUGCCCUGUUCGGGACAAUGUGUCCUUUACUUUUCUCUGAGGAGGGAUGGAGGGUUUGGAAGGCCCCAGUCCUGACUCUAUACCAGUAUGGCUGAGUCAUAGGAAGUAAGCAGGAGCUGCCCUCUUACUGCCAGCAGCCAGAAUGUGUGAAGCCUGGUGGUUGUGGAUCACAUCCCUCUUAAAACCCAAACCCUCGUCAUUGCUUUGAUCCAUCCCUUUGUUGCCAUCCCCUAGGGUGGCCAACCAAUGCCCCUGUCCUAUAGGACACUCCUGCCAUGAAAACAGCCUAAUGGAGCCCAGGAUUAGAUGGGGCCCAAAGCGUGCCCUUCCCCAUGGUUACCCCCAGAAUGGCAUGGUUACCUCCUGAGCCAUGAGAAGAAUGUAGCCCUGGCCCUCCCACUCCUCCACCUCUACAACCUAAUUUAUUGGACUCCCAGUUUAUAGGUGUCUAAAUUGCCAACAUGAGUACCCUGCCAGCACAGGAGGUGACUGGGUGGUCCCUUUAAUCUACCUAGUCUCUGGUGCCAAACCUGGCCCCUCACUAGCCUAUACUGCCAGUUGCCACUGGGGGUGCCCUCUGCCAGCUAGGCAAGAAUGAGGGCACCAUGUUCCCAGUUCAGUGCCAAAGAGGGGUCACAGGAGGUGCUGUGUCUGCUAAACCAGCCCUCACCAAGAGGGAGACCCCCCCACACACACACACACCCUAUUGCCAUUGUGUGCCUUUCCUGGGCCCUCAGCCCUCUGGCUCUGGUGACCCUCCCCCCACCCCACGUCCUCUCAGUAAAAACCUCUGGAAAGUACAA
RNAcentral lists this long non-coding RNA (1508 nucleotides) under Rattus norvegicus (Norway rat). Its description in RNAcentral is "long non-coding RNA NONRATT002896". The record is from RNAcentral. Lineage: Eukaryota; Metazoa; Chordata; Mammalia; Rodentia; Muridae.